This 253-nucleotide ribosomal RNA is filed under the name uncultured bacterium. Its description in RNAcentral is "partial 16S ribosomal RNA". It matches the Rfam family "Bacterial small subunit ribosomal RNA", at positions 524 to 776 of the family's 1533-position model. The record is from RNAcentral.
UACGGGGGGGGCAAGCGUUGUUCGGAAUUACUGGGCGUAAAGGGCUCGUAGGCGGCCAACUAAGUCAGACGUGAAAUCCCUCGGCUUAACCGGGGAACUGCGUCUGAUACUGGAUGGCUCGAGAUUGGGAGAGGGAUGCGGAAUUCCAGGUGUAGCGGUGAAAUGCGUAGAUAUCUGGAGGAACACCGAUGGCGAAGGCAGGUCUCUGGGCCACUACUGACGCUGAGAAGCGAAAGCAUGGGGAGCGAACAGG